Molecule: non-coding RNA, 28 nt
Filed under: Cricetulus griseus (Chinese hamster)
Lineage: Eukaryota; Metazoa; Chordata; Mammalia; Rodentia; Cricetidae
Source: RNAcentral
GCGUGUCAGACAUGGAUAAGCCAUUGGC